This 253-nucleotide ribosomal RNA is filed under the name uncultured bacterium. RNAcentral's name for it is "partial 16S ribosomal RNA". It matches the Rfam family "Bacterial small subunit ribosomal RNA", at positions 524 to 776 of the family's 1533-position model. The record is from RNAcentral.
UACAGAGGUCUCAAGCGUUGUUCGGAUUCAUUGGGCGUAAAGGGUGUGUAGGUGGCGCGCUAAGUCGGGUGUGAAAUUUCGGAGCUUAACUCCGAAACUGCAUUCGAUACUGGCGUGCUUGAGGACUGGAGAGGAGACUGGAAUUCAUGGUGUAGCAGUGAAAUGCGUAGAGAUCAUGAGGAAGACCAGUGGCGAAGGCGACUGCCUGGACCAGCACUGACACUGAGGCACGAAAUCGUGGGGAGCAAACAGG